Molecule: ribosomal RNA, 500 nt
Filed under: uncultured bacterium
Lineage: Bacteria
Description: bacterial SSU rRNA
Rfam family: Bacterial small subunit ribosomal RNA
Source: RNAcentral
CAGGAUGAACGCUAGCGGCAGGCUUAACACAUGCAAGUCGAGGGGCAACGCGAGUAGCAAUACUUGGCGGCGACCGGCGCAAGGGUGCGUAACGCGUGAGCAACAUGCCCGUAUCAGGGGGAUAAUCCAGGGAAACUUGGUCUAAUACCCCAUAGUAAUUUUGUAAGGCAUCUUAUAAGAUUUAAAGCUUUUGGUGGAUACGGAUUGGCUCGCGUGACAUUAGCUGGAUGGUAAGGUAACGGCUUACCAUGGCUAUGAUGUCUAGGGGUUCUGAGAGGAAGGUCCCCCACACUGGAACUGAGACACGGUCCAGACUCCUACGGGAGGCAGCAGUGAGGAAUAUUGGACAAUGGAUGGAAAUCUGAUCCAGCCAUGCCGCCGUGAAGGAAGAAGGUCCUAUGGGUUGUAAACUUCUUUUGUAUGGGAGCAAUAAGGCCUACGAGUAGGUUGAUGAGAGUACCAUACGAAUAAGCACCGGCUAACUCCGUGCCAGCCGCCGC